AUUUUACUAUACAUGCUUCCUCUCCUCCUUCCCCUACAUCUGAUCCAACAUCUAAUUCUCCUGUUCCUGUUUUUACUGAUGCUGAUCCAUCUUCCCUUCCUUCUUUCAAUCAUGAUAUCUCUCCCACUGUUUUACCUUGUUCACAACCUCUUCCUGCUCCUAGAAAAUCCACUAGACAGCAUAAUCAUCCUUCUUAUCUUAAGGAUUAUGUCUGCUAACUCCCUGCCUUUUUUGGAUCCUCUUCUUCUACUUUGGAAUAUGAACCUUUAUAUUACUCUCAAG
RNAcentral lists this long non-coding RNA (282 nucleotides) under Nicotiana benthamiana. RNAcentral's name for it is "long non-coding RNA (NBEN_LNC002147)". The record is from RNAcentral. Lineage: Eukaryota; Viridiplantae; Streptophyta; Magnoliopsida; Solanales; Solanaceae.